RNAcentral lists this ribosomal RNA (439 nucleotides) under uncultured bacterium. RNAcentral's name for it is "bacterial SSU rRNA". It matches the Rfam family "Bacterial small subunit ribosomal RNA", at positions 958 to 1398 of the family's 1533-position model. The record is from RNAcentral.
AACGCGAAGAACCUUACCCAGAUUUGACAUGCACCAGACGAUAGCAGAGAUGUUAUUUCCCUUCGGGGCUGGUGCACAGGUGCUGCAUGGCUGUCGUCAGCUCGUGCCGUGAGGUGUUGGGUUAAGUCCCGCAACGAGCGCAACCCUUAUCAUUAGUUGCCAACAUAUCAGGUGGGAACUCUAAUGAGACUGCCUGGGUUAACCAGGAGGAAGGUGAGGAUGAUGUCAAGUCCGCAUGGCCCUUAUAUCUGGGGCUACACACGUGCUACAAUGGCCGGUACAGAAGGCAGCGAAACCGCGAGGUGAAGCAAAUCCCAAAAAGCCGGCCUCAGUUCAGAUUGUAGUCUGCAACUCGACUACAUGAAGACGGAAUUGCUAGUAAUGGCGAGUCAGCAACACCGCCGUGAAUACGUUCCCGGGCCUUGUACACACCGGAGUA